Molecule: long non-coding RNA, 787 nt
Filed under: Pan paniscus (pygmy chimpanzee)
Lineage: Eukaryota; Metazoa; Chordata; Mammalia; Primates; Hominidae
Description: lncRNA (ENSPPAG00000044376.1)
Source: RNAcentral
CGGUUAAACUCCGCCAUUUUGCCUCUUAGUGCUCAUGCUUGAGCCCGCUUGCCCAACUCCUGAGAUGUCAUCGGGAAGCUGCUGAUCAGCAAUUACAGGUGUUUCUGUGUAUUGAGAGACUGCCUUUCCCUGGCAUUGAUCAAUUAUUUUUUUAGAGAGAUACUUAACAACUACCUCACCAUCACUUGAUGGUUGCCUGACAUUCCUGAUUGGUGAGGGAGAGAGGGAGGGAGUCAGGGGGCUCUCCUGCCCUGUUCCUGUCUGACUAGCUACCUGCUGUAACAAUUAUACUAGUACUAGUGAUAAACCUAUCACUUGUGCCUAUGACAGGGCCUUGCACAAGGUAGAUAACCAAUGAUUAUGGUUGAAUUAAUAAACAAGGCCUCUCUUAUGCCCCUAAAAAUGCAGAGAUGCUCUUCUCACGUCUCAUUCGGAAUCUACUCUCAAUUAUAUAUAAGACGGUAAGAUUAGUCAACUCACUCUCAUCAGGUGGUUAACGUGCUAGUGGUUAAUCCAAUCCAAUUACUUGUUCAAAUAAUUAGACCCAUGCUGGAUGUGUUCUUUCAGCUCAGCCCCGCCUUCUCUGAAACUAUCUCAGAACCAGUGGCUUUGGUUGGGCACUGGAAGUACAUAAAGAAGAAGACAUACAUGCUGUCUCAGGGUGAUCGUGGGUCUCUAGCCAGGAGUCAGAUGACAUCACCACCAUCACAAGCUGGUGAUGCCAGAGAGGACCUGCCUGGGUGUUCUGAUGCUCGGAACCUCUACAUCCUUCUUCCAUGCCUCCUAC